This 548-nucleotide ribosomal RNA is filed under the name uncultured archaeon. Its description in RNAcentral is "bacterial SSU rRNA". It matches the Rfam family "Archaeal small subunit ribosomal RNA", at positions 328 to 879 of the family's 1478-position model. The record is from RNAcentral.
GGGUGCCCAGGCGCGAAAACUUUGCAAUACACGAAAGUGUGACAGGGUCAUCCCGAGUGCCGACCGCUGAGGUUGGCUUUUACCCAGUCUAGAAAGCUGGGGGAAUAAGGAGAGGGCAAGUCUGGUGUCAGCCGCCGCGGUAAUACCAGCUCUCCGAGUGGUGUGGACGUUUAUUGGGCCUAAAGCAUCCGUAGCUGGCUGAACAAGUCCCCUGUUAAACCCACCGAUUUAAUCGUUGGUCUGCGGGGGAUACUGCUCGGCUAGGGGACGAGAGAGGCAGACGGUAUUCCCGGGGUAGGGGUGAAAUCCUAUAAUCCCGAGAAGACCACCAGUGGCGAAGGCUGUCUGCUAGAACGCGCCCGACGGUGAGGGAUGAAAGCUGGGGGAGCGAACCGGAUUAGAUACCCGGGUAGUCCCAGCUGUAAACGAUGCAGACUAGGUGUUUGGACGGCCACGUGCCGUUCUAGUGCCGCAGGGAAGCUGUUAAGUCUGCCGCCUGGGGAGUACGAUCGCAAGAUUGAAACUUAAAGGAAUUGGCGGGGGAGCAC